Molecule: ribosomal RNA, 253 nt
Filed under: uncultured bacterium
Lineage: Bacteria
Description: partial 16S ribosomal RNA
Rfam family: Bacterial small subunit ribosomal RNA
Source: RNAcentral
UACGGAGGGUGCAAGCGUUGUUCGGAAUUACUGGGCGUAAAGCGCGUGUAGGCGGUUCGGUAAGUCGGUUGUGAAAGCCCCGAGCUCAACUCUGGAAUUGCGUCCGAAACUGCCGGACUGGAGUCCCGGAGAGGAAGGCAGAAUUCCCAAUGUAGGUGUGAAAUCCGUAGAUAUUGUGAGGAAUACCGGCUGCGAAGGCGGCCUUCUGGACGGUGACUGACGCUGAGACGCGAAAGCGUGGGGAGCAAACAGG